UAUAAUUGUUUUUCAUAAAAUGUUUCUCCAACAGAGUCUGUAGGGUUUAUGAGAAUUUUUAAAUUUUAUAUGUUCAUUUUGAUGUUAACCCAAAACCAUUUUUAAACCAGUUUUAAAUAUAUUGCUAAAAUUCUUACAGCAAUUAUUUGGCAAUUAGAAAACAGUUCCACAGAUUAAGACUUUAAUUUCUUAAGUAAACACAGUUUCAGGGUUUGAGAG
Molecule: long non-coding RNA, 219 nt
Filed under: Bos taurus (domestic cattle)
Lineage: Eukaryota; Metazoa; Chordata; Mammalia; Artiodactyla; Bovidae
Description: long non-coding RNA NONBTAT023025
Source: RNAcentral